AUUUAAGCGAUGACAGGAAUGAGUAGUGUUUAUCUCCCUGUUUCAGAGAGCUGGUGGUUGGUGUGAACCAGUGCAAAGGUAGACGCGAAUUACCUCCUGGAGCUUCUUUUGCGAACGGCUCUGCGAAUGCUCAGUAGCAAAAGACGGUGAGAGGCCGUUAUCCAAACAAGCGAGGGAGCAGAAUGCUCUCUAAGUAGGGUGGUACCGCGAUCAACACUCGUCCCUUCA
Molecule: non-coding RNA, 228 nt
Filed under: Anoxybacillus sp.
Lineage: Bacteria; Bacillati; Bacillota; Bacilli; Caryophanales; Anoxybacillaceae
Description: T-box sequence
Rfam family: T-box leader
About the family: Uncharged tRNA acts as the effector for transcription antitermination of genes in the T-box leader family. T-boxes are found upstream of many aminoacyl-tRNA synthetase genes and some amino acid biosynthetic genes usually in Gram-positive bacteria.
Source: RNAcentral